Molecule: long non-coding RNA, 686 nt
Organism: Mustela lutreola (European mink)
Lineage: Eukaryota; Metazoa; Chordata; Mammalia; Carnivora; Mustelidae
Exons: 3
Source: RefSeq, a predicted model, not a curated record
GGGGAGGGCUGGGGCUUUCUUGUUCUCUAGUGUGCUGUGCAUGUGUGUGUUUAUACGGGGAGCACACAGGCGUACUUACCCAGGGCUGGACAAAGUACGUCACUUCAAGACGGCAACAGGAACUCAGACAAACUCAGAAAUGAAUAUGGCAGACCAACAGCUCCCAACCUGUUCAAGGGGACUAGACCCACCUUGGACCCUGUUAUCUGUACUGAGGAUGCUCGAGUUUUAUACCCUGCCCAUCACGGCGGUGUGGCCCCGUGGAAGAUUUCCCAACGAUCCGCAGGAGCUCACUGGGGACUCACAGACGGCGUCAUGGACAAAGCCUCCAAGGGGUGACCCUGGUGUCCAGGCUUCCUGCAGGCCCCAGACCAAGCCCCUCCCUAGACGCCUCCGUUCUCCUUCUCCAGGCGAGGCAAGGACUGCGGAUGCAAAGGGCUGGGCCCCCGGCCACCGGACCUUGAAGUAAAGGUUAACAUGCUCACAUCCAAGACCUGUCUGUCCCCGUGCUUCAGUCAGCGGCCAGCUGUCAGCCACCCAAGUACAGUCCUGAAAUCGCCCCACUUCUGUCCAGAACAUGGUGUGGAUGCUCUCAAAGGUCGUUUUGCUUCUAACACCUCUGGGAUUUCUACUUCCUGCUUCUACAAUGUGCCCCUUAUAGAGCGCUUGCAAUAAACCAGGUGUGU